RNAcentral lists this ribosomal RNA (379 nucleotides) under uncultured eukaryote. RNAcentral describes it as "partial 18S ribosomal RNA". It matches the Rfam family "Eukaryotic small subunit ribosomal RNA", at positions 592 to 975 of the family's 1831-position model. The record is from RNAcentral.
CAAUAGCGUAUAUUAAAGUUGUUGCGGUUAAAAAGCUCGUAGUUGGAUUUCUGCUGAGAACGACCGGUCCGCCCUUUGGGUGUGUAUCUGGCUCUUUCUUGGCAUCUUCUUGGUGAACGUUGCUGCACUUGACUGUGUGGAGCGCUACCCAGGACUUUUACUUUGAGGAAAUUAGAGUGUUUCAAGCAGGCAUACGCCUUGAAUACAUUAGCAUGGAAUAAUAAGAUAGGACCUCGGCUCUAUUUUGUUGGUUUCUAGAGCUGAGGUAAUGAUUAAUAGGGAUAGUUGGGGGCAUUCGUAUUUAACUGUUAGAGGUGAAAUUCUUGGAUUUGUUAAAGACGGACUACUGCGAAAGCAUUUGCCAAGGAUGUUUUCAUUG